CCUACGGGGUGCAGCAGUGGGGAAUAUUGGGCAAUGGAGGCAACUCUGACCCAGCAACGCCGCGUGAAUGAUGAAGGUCUUCGGAUUGUAAAGUUCUGUGAUGGGGGAUGAACACAAUGACGGUACCCCAAUAGCAAGCCACGGCUAACUACGUGCCAGCAGCCGCGGUAAUACGUAGGUGGCAAGCGUUAUCCGGAAUGACUGGGCGUAAAGGGUGCGUAGGUGGUUUAGUAAGUUGGCGGUGUAAUUCCGGGGCUCAACCUCGGCGCUACCGCCAAAACUAUUAGACUAGAGUGCAGGAGGGGUAAGUGGAAUUCCUGGUGUAGCGGUGAAAUGCGUAGAUAUUCGGAGGAACACCGGUGGCGAAGGCGGCCAACUGGGCUUUAACUGACGCUGAGGCUCGAAAGUGUGGGGAGCAAACAGGAUUAGAUACCCGUGUAGUC
This 443-nucleotide ribosomal RNA is filed under the name uncultured bacterium. RNAcentral's name for it is "partial 16S ribosomal RNA". It matches the Rfam family "Bacterial small subunit ribosomal RNA", at positions 338 to 795 of the family's 1533-position model. The record is from RNAcentral.